This 395-nucleotide ribosomal RNA is filed under the name uncultured bacterium. RNAcentral's name for it is "partial 16S ribosomal RNA". It matches the Rfam family "Bacterial small subunit ribosomal RNA", at positions 523 to 918 of the family's 1533-position model. The record is from RNAcentral.
AUACGUAGGGUGCAAGCGUUAAUCGGAAUUACUGGGCGUAAAGCGUGCGCAGGCGGUUUUGUAAGGCAGAGGUGAAAUCCCCGGGCUCAACCUGGGAACUGCCUUUGUGAUUGCAAGGCUGGAGUGCGGCAGAGGGGGAUGGAAUUCCGCGUGUAGCAGUGAAAUGCGUAGAUAUGCGGAGGAACACCGAUGGCGAAGGCAAUCCCCUGGGCCUGCACUGACGCUCAUGCACGAAAGCGUGGGGAGCAAGCAGGAUUAGAUACCCUGGUAGUCCACGCCCUAAACGAUGUCAACUGGUUGUUGGGGAUUUAUUUUCUCAGUAACGAAGCUAACGCGUGAAGUUGACCGCCUGGGGAGUACGGCCGCAAGGUUAAAACUCAAAUGAAUUGACGGGG